ACGGCUCAGUAACACGUGGAUAACCUGCCCUUGGGUCCGGCAUAACCCCGGGAAACUGGGGAUAAUUCCGGAUAACGCACAUAUGCUGGAAUGCUUUUUGCGUAAAAUGGAUUCGUCUGCCCAAGGAUGGGUCUGCGACCUAUCAGGUAGUAGUGGGUGUAAUGUACCUACUAGCCUACGACGGGUACGGGUUGUGAGAGCAAGAGCCCGGAGAUGGAUUCUGAGACAUGAAUCCAGGCCCUACGGGGCGCAGCAGGCGCGAAAACUUUACAAUGCGGGAAACCGUGAUAAGGGGACACCGAGUGCCAGCGUCAUACGCUGGCUGUCCAGGUGUGUAAAAUACACCUGUUAGCAAGGGCCGGGCAAGACCGGUGCCAGCCGCCGCGGUAACACCGGCGGCCCGAGUGGUGAUCGUGAUUAUUGGGUCUAAAGGGUCCGUAGCCGGUUUGGUCAGUCCUCCGGGAAAUCUGACAGCUCAACUGUUAGGCUUUCGGAGGAUACUGCCAGACUUGGAACCGGGAGAGGUAAGAGGUACUACAGGGGUAGGAGUGAAAUCUUGUAAUCCCUGUGGGACCACCUGUGGCGAAGGCGUCUUACCAGAACGGGUUCGACGGUGAGGGACGAAAGCUGGGGGCACGAACCGGAUUAGAUACCCGGGUAGUCCCAGCCGUAAACGAUGCUCGCUAGGUGUCAGGCAUGGCGCGACCGUGUCUGGUGCCGCAGGGAAGCCGUGAAGCGAGCCACCUGGGAAGUACGGCCGCAAGGCUGAAACUUAAAGGAAUUGGCGGGGGAGCAC
Molecule: ribosomal RNA, 796 nt
Filed under: uncultured archaeon
Lineage: Archaea
Description: bacterial SSU rRNA
Rfam family: Archaeal small subunit ribosomal RNA
Source: RNAcentral